UGGUAGCCACAGUAGCCGGAGGAGGUUAUUGAUCGGUCCAUGAAGCCGAGCUGGAGGCGGUGCAGGAAGGAAUCCCGUACGCCGGCAGCUUCUACGCGACCCAGCACUACGCACCAGCACUAACCCCAAACCAACAUACAGAAAAGAUACAGCGUAUUAUUCGUCGUAAUAAUGCCGACCAGCAGCAACAGCAUCAGCAUCAACAGUCGGUCAGUUAUCAGUCAGUAGUCAGCACCAAACCUCUGCGCUUCUUGGUGAAAUCGGAUACUGGCGAUGCUCAAGAUCAAGAUAUCCGACAUACUAGCGGAAAGGUGUGUCGUUACGGAACCUGAAUCUCUUUGCCUCUUAUAAUAAUCUGUAUGUAUAACGAUGCUACAGCAACCUUCGUCGCAGCGUGAGGCUGAUGAGUUAUCGGAAGGCUUUAAACCGUUGGCAAGGAAUGAAAUCUUUAGCGCAGGCGAUCUGGUCGCGAUGGAUGCCGAGUUUGUGACGCUGAAACCGGGGGAAAGUGAAAUCCGUUCCGAUGGAAAGAUGUUGACGGUGAAACCCCGGGCAUCACGUGCAUCCGGGGACAGGGCGAGCAUGAGAUUGUCCCGUUCAUAGAUGAUUACAUCUCGACGCAGGAACGCAGGUGGUCGACUAUCUGACCAAGUUUUCCGGUAUCAAUAUACAGUCGAAGACGCACGAUUCCGUCGAGGAAUGCUUCUACAAGCAUUACCUACGGCUACAGGAAAAGGAUGAGUUUUCCAGGGCGCUCUCGACGUUGUACGAGAAGGGCAAGCCUGUUGGAAAUUCCGUAGCUGCGUGAGCCCCAGUACCCGGAGCGGUGGGCCGCUCGCUUUGAUCGAUCGCUCGAUCAAAGGAGAUGCGGCAGGAGCGGGUGCUGGGGGAACGCGGGCAUCCGCACGAUCACCCGAUCACGCGGGCGAGGGUGAUGCCCGACCGUCGACCGGACCGGACCAACUACGGUUAACUUGCAGGGACUCAACUUUACCAGUCUUCACGGUGCGAUGGCGUCCAUUCCGGGACUGCAAAACGUUCAGGUUCAAAUUGCCGGACUUCCACAGCCGAUUUCUCAGACUCUUUCGUCUACGCCGUCAGGAACGACAACCGGUCGACUAGCCUACUUAACCAGACGACUAGCCUACUUGUGUCCGUUCCAGUGACCAACACCACACAGGCUGCUGUGAACACCAUCAACGCCGGUGCUAAUAAUACCAUACUGUCUGGUAACUCGCAAACGACACAAACGGUCGUUUUGACGAAUCCACAAACAAGUGGCUCCAGUCUACUCACUCUACCUACUGGUAGGUUUUUGGCCUUUGAAGGAAUGCGCUUGGCAAACUCUUUCGUAUAUUCCAUCUUCGCUUUGACGAACCGGUGGACCACUAACGGUGAAUGCUGGUCAACCGGGUCAACAGAUACAGCUACUGAACAUCAGUCAACGGCCUAGGGCGGGCACACCGAUUUCCGGUUCACAUCACGGCGGCCAAUGUUACUUCAAACACCACACCGAAUCAGCUCCUCAUGGCUACGAAGCAGCUACAAUUGAAGAUUCAACAACAGCAACACCAUCAUCAGUUGCAAUAACAGCAGCAAAUUAUAACCGGAAGCAGUAACCAAUCAACGGUUGGCGGAAAUAAUACCACGCAAAUCCACAUCCAGCCGCGGCCACAUCCACGUCCUCUCUGCAUAUUCAUCUGUACAUUUCUCACCAUAUACAUGGUCAUCUAUGGCGGCUACAUUAGCACGAAGAGCAAGGCGUCGCCGCUGCUCUCGCUCACGACGGGCGCGCCGUCCUGCUCGGCGCGUCCGGCGCCGGUUUCUUCCUCGGGAUCCUGAUGCUUCCUGAUGCGGGACUUGUUGGGGCGCUUGCGCUGAAUUUUGAGGCGGAAUUUCAGCCUUCAUUUCGGGACAACUCGGGGUCCACCUCAAGAAGCAUGUCUUCCUCCAGAAGUCCUUCUUGGUCCUGAUCGGACUUUAAAUCGCCCUGCGUGGGGGAAAAAAGUGUAAAACAAGUUUUCUUCAAAAACUGUUUUCACAAGCUUACCAUUUGUUCGCACAAUUGUUCAAUGUCCAAUUCUUCCAUUUUUACUUUUGUCGAUAAGCCCAUCAUCGAGGAAGUAGUUCUAGCAUGAAAAUUUAAAAGUAAUACGCUCUAAUUUAAGGUGAGACGGAAGGAAGGGCGUGUUUCGCUGUGGAAAUUUUCGCUCUGUUCCAUUUUUAACAAUAUUUUAUUCUGUACCAGCAGUGACGUUCAGCAACUUAAACGCGGCCGCGGCCACGUCCGUGGAACUCACCCAUCCCGUAGCGCUGCGCUUCCCCGAUCAUGACCAUUAGAUGGUCAUGAGACCGCGCCAUAUCCAGUGUCGUUAAGUGGGCGCGCAGAGCAAGGCGACGCCUCGCCUCGCGCUCACGGCGGGAAAAUUUUCGCUCUUUUCCAUUUUUAUUGUGGAAAUUUUCGCUCUUUUCCAUUUUUAACAAUAUUUUAUUCUGUACCAGCAGUGACGUUCAGCAACUUAAACGCGGCCGCGGCCACGUCCGCGGAACC
Long non-coding RNA from Anopheles darlingi, 2551 nucleotides. RefSeq lists it as uncharacterized. The transcript is spliced from 3 exons. Lineage: Eukaryota; Metazoa; Arthropoda; Insecta; Diptera; Culicidae. The record is from RefSeq and is a predicted model, not a curated record.